UCGGUAGGGGAGCGUUCUAUGCCGACUUGAAGCGCUAACGUAAGUGGGUGUGGAUUGGAUAGAAGUGAGAAUGUUGGCUUGAGUAGCGAAAAUAUUGGUGAGAAUCCAAUAUCCCGAAAACCUAAGGGUUCCUCCGGAAGGCUCGUCCGCGGGGGGUUAGUCAGGGCCUAAGCCGAGGCGGAAAAGCGUAGGCGAUGGACAACAGGUUAAUAUUCCUGUACUUUUUGUUACUGAUAUAGAGGGACG
RNAcentral lists this ribosomal RNA (246 nucleotides) under uncultured eukaryote. Its description in RNAcentral is "partial Bacterial large subunit ribosomal RNA". It matches the Rfam family "Bacterial large subunit ribosomal RNA", at positions 1225 to 1474 of the family's 2925-position model. The record is from RNAcentral.